Molecule: ribosomal RNA, 253 nt
Filed under: uncultured bacterium
Lineage: Bacteria
Description: partial 16S ribosomal RNA
Rfam family: Bacterial small subunit ribosomal RNA
Source: RNAcentral
GACAGAGGUGCCAAGCGUUAGGCGGAAUCACUGGGCUUAAAGCGUGUGUAGGCGGGCGGGCAAGUACCUUGUGAAAUCCCACGGCUCAACCGUGGAACGGCUGGGUAUACUGCCUGUCUUGAGCCAGCUAGGGGCGACCGGAACAGACGGUGGAGCGGUGAAAUGCGUAGAUAUCGUCUGGAACGCCGAAGGUGAAAACAGCUCGCUGGGGCUGCGCUGACGCUGAGACACGAAAGCCAGGGGAGCGAACGGG